This 62-nucleotide transfer RNA is filed under the name Whitmania acranulata. RNAcentral describes it as "tRNA-His". The record is from RNAcentral. Lineage: Eukaryota; Metazoa; Annelida; Clitellata; Hirudinida; Haemopidae.
GUUAAAGGAGAAAAUUAUUUCACCGCGUUGUGGCCACGGAGAACAUUCAAAUGUCUUUAACC